CGGAGGAAAAGAAACUAACUAGGAUUCCCCCAGUAACUGCGAGUGAAGAGGGAAGAGCUCAUCAUUGGAAUCUGGCAGUGUUACACUGUCCGAGUUGUAGAUGAGGAGUAGUCCGUCUGGACUGCAUGGCGUCCAAGUACAAUAGGCCGUCAGUGGGACAUCAUAGAGGGUGACAAUCCCGUCCUUGACGCCAAUGUGCAAGUCUAUUACGAUGGCUAUCUCAGAGAGUCGAGCAGUUUGGGAUUUGCUGCUUAAACAUGGGAGGUAGAUUCCUUCUAAAGCUAAAUACAGGCGAGAGACCGAUAGAGAACAAGUACCGCAAGGGAAAGAUGAAAUAGCACUCUGUGAAGGGAGUCAAAAGGCGUGAAAUUGUUGCGAGAGAAGCGAUUCAAGUCAGCGUAGCUAGGCCCAUCAAGCGUCUUCGCUUUGGACUAGCUUUGCCAGCGGUCUUGUCCCUUAAAGAGACUUGACUUGUAAUAUGUCCAGCCUGGCGUGCACAGGCAGCCCCUUCUGGGGGCCAGUGGCAU
This 527-nucleotide ribosomal RNA is filed under the name Cantharellus enelensis. RNAcentral's name for it is "eukaryotic LSU rRNA". It matches the Rfam family "Eukaryotic large subunit ribosomal RNA", at positions 51 to 498 of the family's 3401-position model. Lineage: Eukaryota; Fungi; Basidiomycota; Agaricomycetes; Cantharellales; Hydnaceae. The record is from RNAcentral.